Molecule: transfer RNA, 75 nt
Filed under: Yuhina nigrimenta
Lineage: Eukaryota; Metazoa; Chordata; Aves; Passeriformes; Timaliidae
Description: tRNA-Tyr
Rfam family: tRNA
About the family: Transfer RNA (tRNA) molecules are approximately 80 nucleotides in length.
Source: RNAcentral
AGGUAAGAUGGCUGAGUGUAUUAAGCGUUAGGCUGUAGUCCUUUUUACAGAGGUUCAAUUCCUCUUCUUAUCCGC